This 2576-nucleotide long non-coding RNA is filed under the name Homo sapiens (human). Its description in RNAcentral is "HSALNT0129738". The record is from RNAcentral. Lineage: Eukaryota; Metazoa; Chordata; Mammalia; Primates; Hominidae.
CUGCAGCCAUGGAAUGUUCCUGAUGCUGACAUCACAGUGACAGGCACACUUGUAGUUGAGGUGUUUGUUGGGAUAUGGAUUUUUUUUUUUUAAGUAACAAAGGUGCACCAGCAUUCAGCUGUCUGACAGAACGAUGUCUUCAUUACAAGCAACCAUCACUAAAUCAACUUUAAAAUUAUUUGACAAAACAAAACUAAAAUGGCUUAUUUCAAACUUUCUCUCUUAUCAAAGUCCAGAACAAAGUAGUAACUUAGGAAUUUAACGAACAUUCGCUUAGCUCUUCCCUUCCCUUUUUCUCCUGCCAAUUUUCUUAUUUUUCAAUCAAAUUUAUACAUUCAUGUUAUUUUUUAAAUCAUUUAUCUUCUCGAAAUUUUUAUUUUGCUUAAUUUUGUAGUUAUAUAUAAUUUUCUAUGUCAAAUUAGUGUCAGUCGCCCUUUUAUACCACAGUUUUCCCGUUCGUGAAUUUUUAGUUUAAACUUACCUCUCAAUUAGCUGAGUGCCUCACUCAAGCAAUCUUUUCAAGAAGGGUAGCCGGGCAUGGUGGCUCGUGUCUGUAAUACCAGCACUUUGGGAGGCCAAGGCAGGAGGAUCACUUGAGGUCAGGAGUUGCACUCCAGCCUGGGUGACAGAGCGAAACUUCAUCUCAAAAAAAAAGGGUAGCAUAAAUGCUAUUUUACCUUAGCUCAUGUACACCUGAUAAUUUCUUUCUGUGCUGUCACACUUGAGUAGGCGUAGCCUUCUUGGGGCACUAACUGUUCCACUCCCAAUUUUGUAAAUACUACUCCACUGACUCUUGCUUAGUAUUUAGGAUUAUGGAGAAGUCUGAGGCCAUUCUCAGACUCUUUCUCAUUCUCUUUUUGUUCCGUUAUCAUUAAUGUGUUUUCUCUGCCUAGUUGUCAUUAAUUGUAUACCUAGAACAUAGUAAUAGCUUUCCAUCUCAGAACUGGUUAUUUAUUUUAGAUCAAGAAUAUUUUAUUGUAUUAUGUGUCUGAUUACUGUUUCUGAUCCAUUUAUCGUAAGUUUUUUGAGAACUCUUUAUUAUAUAUAUAUUUUUUAUUUUUCCCUAAGACAGAGUCUCGCUCUGUCGUCCACGCUGGAGGGCAGUGGCGCAAUCUUGGCUCACUGCAACCUCCGCUUCUCGGGUUCAGGAGAUUCUCCUGCCUUAGGCUCCCGAGUAGCUGGAAUUACAGGCACCCGCCACCAUGCCUGGCUAAUUUUUGUAUAUUUAUUUAUUAUUAUUAUUAUUUUUUUGAGACGGAGUCUUCUCUGUUGCCAGGCUGGAGUGCAAUGACAUGAUCUCGGCUCACUGCAACCUCCACCUCCCAGGUUCAAGCAGUUCUCCCUGCCUCAGCUUCCUGAAUAGCUGGGAUUACAGGCAUGGGCCACAAUGCCCAGCUAAUUUUUGUGUUUUUAGUAGAGACAGUGUAUUGCCAUGUUGGCCAGGCUGAUCUUGAACUCCUGACCCCAGUUGAUCUGCCCACCUCGGCCUCCCAAAGUGCUGGGCUUACAGGCGUGAGCUACCACACCUGGCCUAAUUUUUAUAUUUUUAGUAGAGAUGGGGUUUUACCAUGUUGACUGGGCUGGUCUCAAACUCCUAACCUCAAGUGAUCUGCCCGCUUCCGCCUCCCAAAGUCCUGGGAUUACAGGCAUGAGUCACUGCGCCGGGCCUAUAUUUUAUCUCUCUGUCUUCCAUAUCAUCUUCUGUUAUUGUUUUCAUCUCUAUGCCACUUCUUUGUAUUCUGACACUUUCUCAGAUUUGUCCUUUAUGUUAAUGAUUUAGUUUCUUUAACUUUUUUCCCCUGAAAGUAAUGUAUGUUCAUUGAAGGCAAAUUUAGAAAAAAGAAAAUAAAAAUCACCUAUUAAUCCAAUACUGUUUAUGCUUUGUAGGUACUUUUUAAGACUUUUUUCAACAAAAUGUGUUUUGUAUAAUAUUUCGUUUUAUAACCGGCAAAAAAAAAAUACCAUUUUAUGAUAUGCAAGUUCUUAGGUUCUUAAAUAUUCUUUGAAAACAUAACUUUUAUUUAUUUAUGGAAUUGUGUUGUCUAAGGAAGUGCUCUUUGUACUGUCUCCUAUUUAUGUGGAACAGGAACAUGUAAUGAGAAGAGUUUCCCCUUGCUGUAUGUCAAGGUUUCCUGCUGUUCAAUAUAGUCUAAGGGUUGAUAUUCAAUAUACAUUGUAUAUUCAAAUCAUCAUUCUGCUACUAAUGUAGGCAUAGGAAUGACUGGAUGCCAGAAUUCUAAUGAAGAACAAAUUCAGCUAACUGGUAAUUCAUUAAUUGAAAUCUAGGAUUAACUGAUGUUUUAUGUAUAUACAUUUACUUUCAUCAGAAAUAAAAUAAUAAAAACAUUGAUACUAGGGAUUAUAUGUUAAAAUGUAUAUGGAGAUGGAUGAAUAAAGGCCUUCCCUUAUGAAAAAAAAGGUAUAUGGAAGAUUGGAGUUAGUCUGCAUUACUGUUUAUUAAAUAGUUUACUCUUCUUAAAAUUAAUUCUUAAUUUGAUCAAAGGAAUAAGUGAAAAGAUAGCAUAAAUGGUAGUUCCCUGCCCCGUAUCCUCCUCCUAGGGUUAACUACUUUUAAC